UUCUCCAGUCCCAUUAUCAAAUUUCUUAGUUCUGGUCCCAUAUAGUGUUUAUUAAAUUAGUCACUUUACACUGUUUAUAUUAUAAAUCUAGUCUCAGGUCAUGUUCUUCUUAUAAAUUACUGAUUCUGGUUCCAUUUGGUCCCAUUUUGUUAAAAUGGGACCAAAUGGGACCAUGAUUUACCCUAUAUAGAUGAUAUAAUGCUAUGAGUGUUACCAAAAAUCAUUACCUAUCAAAAGAAGUUUAGUGUAUUUAUGCUCUAGUUCUAUUUUGAACUAGUAAUGAUAGUGAUAGAUAGAUUCGCCGCGGUAGAUAGGUUGGCAGCGAUAGAUUAGCAGCGAUAGAUUAGGCAGCGAUAGAUUAGCAGCGAUAGAUAGAUUGGCAGUGAUAGAUAGGUUGGCAGCGAUAGAUUAGCAGUGAUAGAUAGCUUAGUAGUGAGGGAUAGCUUAGCAGCGAGGGAUAGCUUAGCAGCGAGGGAUAGCUUAGCAGUGAGAGAUAGCUUAGCAGUGAGGGAUAGCUUAGCAGCGAAGGAUAGCUUAGCAGCGAGGGAUAGAUUGGCAGCGGCGAUAGAUUAGCAGCGAUAGAUAGAUUGGCAGCAGCGAUAGAUUAGCAGCGAUAGAUUAGCAGCGAUAGAUUAGCAGCGAUAGAUUGGCAGCGAUAGAUAGAUUGGCAGUGGUAGAUAAAUUGGCAGCGAUAGAUAGAUUCGCCGCGG
This 710-nucleotide small RNA is filed under the name Histoplasma ohiense. Its description in RNAcentral is "hypothetical lncRNA". Lineage: Eukaryota; Fungi; Ascomycota; Eurotiomycetes; Onygenales; Ajellomycetaceae. The record is from RNAcentral.